AGUCGAGGGGCAUCAUGGCGGUCGCUUGCGACCGCUGAUGGCGACCGGCGCACGGGUGCGUAACGCGUAUCGAACCUGCCGCAUACCCGGGGAUAGCCUUGCGAAAGCAAGAUUAAUACCCGAUGUUCUCACUGUUCCGCAUGUUACGGUGAGCAAAGAAUUUCGGUAUGCGAUGGCGAUGCGUCCCAUUAGCUAGUUGGCGGGGUAACGGCCCACCAAGGCUCCGAUGGGUAGGGGUUCUGAGAGGAAGGCCCCCCACACUGGUACUGAGACACGGACCAGACUCCUACGGGAGGCAGCAGUGAGGAAUAUUGGUCAAUGGCCGGAAGGCUGAACCAGCCAAGUCGCGUGAGGGAAUAAGGCCCUACGGGUCGUAAACCUCUUUUGCCAGGGAGCAAUGCCGUCCACGUGUGGACGGAAGGAGAGUACCUGGAGAAAAAGCAUCGGCUAACUCCGUGCCAGCAGCCGCGGUAAUACGGAGGAUGCGAGCGUUAUCCGGAUUUAUUGGGUUUAAAGGGUGCGUAGGCGGCCUGCCAAGUCAGCGGUAAAAUUGCGGGGCUCAACCCCGUACAGCCGUUGAAACUGCCGGGCUCGAGUGGGCGAGAAGUAUGCGGAAUGCGUGGUGUAGCGGUGAAAUGCAUAGAUAUCACGCAGAACCCCGAUUGCGAAGGCAGCAUACCGGCGCCCGACUGACGCUGAGGCACGAAAGUGCGGGGAUCAAACAGGAUUAGAUACCCUGGUAGUCCGCACAGUAAACGAUGAAUGCUA
RNAcentral lists this ribosomal RNA (768 nucleotides) under uncultured bacterium. Its description in RNAcentral is "bacterial SSU rRNA". It matches the Rfam family "Bacterial small subunit ribosomal RNA", at positions 60 to 818 of the family's 1533-position model. The record is from RNAcentral.